AUGCAGUCGUCUAGCGUGAGUCCGCGCGAGCGGAUCGUCGAGUCGCAUCGCUCUUGGUUGUCGGGUAUCGAAAUACUUGCUCUACCAAAAGUCGCUGCAGCCCCUUCGCAAAUUUUCGCGGAUUCGUUUAAUCGAGAAGCAAACGACGUGAGCAUUAUGCGCGUUGCCAAGGGGCGCGGACGUAUGAACCACCGUACUAACGGAGCCAUUGUGAACGGUGAAAUCAUAAACGAGCCUCGGAUGUUCGCGCGAUCAUCGAGCCUUUGACACACAGGCCCGCUUGAUCCUUAGUAGACGCGUCGAGUCGGUCGUAGAAACCCUCGCGUUUAUCACUCCCCGGCCACCUUAGCCGUAACCCCCACCCUUCUUUCGUCCUCCCUCUGUUAUUCGCGCUUCCGUGUGUACUCCGACUUCGAGACGUACAUGAAACCAACACCUUAGACCUCCGCUAGGCCACCUUUCGAUAUCUUUCGAAGGUUACUACAUACUUCGUCGUGACGCUUGACCCUCCUCCCACGACUCUUCUCAGCCUUGUAGACAACAAGUAGCGAGUUCGUAAUUAAUAUCGUAAACAAGUGCGAAAACGACACUCCUGUUGCGAAGGGGUAGGUUUUUUUAGCGCUCGAGAACUGUAUUCCGAAGCUGAACUAGCCGCAUACACCGCUUCCUCCUUUCUGCUGGUACCGCGAUCUUUCGUUGCGAAUUUCCCGAUCGAAGUUGCCACGAUCCUCCGGCGGGAAAACAGUCUUCAAGCGACGAGACAGAAAGUCGAUUCGAAUCAUUUCCCCACGAGCCUCAAAGCCAGGAAGAAGUUACCCGGUAAUGCGUUUUAUCGGCUCGAUGUCGACGUCGAUACUUUCCAUUGAAUUUCUAAGAUUCAAACGAAAUAGUGAUCUCGAAUCGCGCAACCUUCGCGA
Bombus pascuorum is the source of this 917-nucleotide long non-coding RNA. RefSeq lists it as uncharacterized. The transcript has 3 exons. The record is from RefSeq and is a predicted model, not a curated record. NCBI's taxonomy places the organism in Eukaryota, Metazoa, Arthropoda, Insecta, Hymenoptera, Apidae.